UUAAAUCAUUACAUAUUACGUCUGCGGGUCGCGUCGAGUUUUGCGCGUAAUUACAUCAUUUGACUCCAGUCGAAGUUUCGGUAAUGUGUUUUUAUUAUUUAUAGACGCGGAAACUGGUUUGAAUUACGAAAAAAAGUGCUUGUUUGCAUUAAGUAACGUUUUUUUUGUUUGCUCGUUAGUUCUAAUAAGUGUCGAAAUAUAAAAACAGCAAGUGCGAUGUUUCGCGAUUGUUAAAAUGUGUUUGCAUUGUGAGUUACACCUUUGAUUUGCGCACAAUCAAUAAUAUUAUCAAAUAAUUUAAUUAGUUUAGAAAUAUUAAUCAUGGAAAAGGUUUUAAACGUGGUAAAAAGUAGUUUUGUAAGUGUGUGUGCCGUUUUAAUGGAUAUUCCUGUUAAUAAUUACCGCAUUACGAUAAAGUAUGCCAAGCAAAUCAAGAACUACCUCAAUUUACGAUGAUCUAAACAUUUUAUGACCUGCAAAUGUUGCGGGUUAUGUCAAUAUUUUAAGAGCAAUUCUCACUCUAUUCCUUAAAAAAAGUGUAAAGUUGAAAAUAUAAGUGAUGUUAAUGAUAAUAAUUAGUUUAUUAUUAACUUAUAAACAACUUGUCACCACAUAAUUACCAUAAUAAUUAUAUUUACCAUCAAAA
This is a long non-coding RNA of Dalotia coriaria, 646 nucleotides long. RefSeq lists it as uncharacterized. The transcript has 3 exons. NCBI's taxonomy places the organism in Eukaryota, Metazoa, Arthropoda, Insecta, Coleoptera, Staphylinidae. The record is from RefSeq and is a predicted model, not a curated record.